CUAUCAUGUGGGUGGAUCUGUAAAUCACAUACAAUGGAAGUAAAAGGAUGAUUCAGUGUGAAGGUGCCAAGUGGAAUGCAGAUCUAUGUGCUGCAUGGAACAGGAGCUGCCUAAGCUGCACCAAGCUCAGCCAUGUGCCAGAAUCAAGGCCUGAGCAGGCUCUCUGAGCUUUAUUGUCAACUUUAAAUGAUAAGAUAACAGCAGCUUCCUAGAAGAUUGCUUUAAGAAUUGCAGAUUAAUCAUCCAUGAGUGAUGAAAGACAGAUACCAACAAAUGAAAUUAGACUCUCUCUGACUAUCCUCAGAUCAGAAACUCUUGAGGAAGUAGCAUCAACAGCAGAACUAACUUAAACCUAAGAAUCAACUGACAAGAGAUUGAGCUGAUUAUUCAUCACCCUCAGGAACCUCAUUUAACCUUUCUGAGCUUCAUUGUAUUAACUUAUUCUACUGCCAGUUCAUGCUGCUUCUUGAUUGACUCGCCGCCAGACGUCCUCCACAGGCCCCUGAUGGAAUGUUUAAAAGGCCCUCCUGUGGGAAGCAGGGAGAUUUACAGUUAAUUUUUAUUAAUGAAGGAUGACAGGCAUCUCCAUUUAGCCAACAAGAUAUUACACUGGUCCAAGAAAACGCCCCUGUAUUUGGAACAAGCAUCCUUAUCCCAUACCCCAACCCACCUCUCUCUCUCUCUCUCUUUCAUAGACACAGAGUCACAGGCGCACACACACACACACACCCCACACCACACACACACACACACGCAUGCACACACACACACACUCUUAAGCAUACACAUGGGCACCAGGUAAUUAAGAAUACAACAAAUUAAGAAACAAAGGAGAAUAUUUGCUUUUUUAUAUUCUGGUACUCCCCUAUCAAAAGAGAAAGGAAGGAAUGGGGAUUCUGUGAGUCUGGGGAUGGGUGAGUGGUGAGGGUCCGAUAGCAAAUGCUGCUCAUUCCUGCUGCUGCUUCCUGUUACUCGUCUGCAUUCCUACAUCUCAGCCCCCACCCCAUAUUCAUUCCCACUCUAGAGAAUUCGCUGCCAUUUCCGAAAUGAAUUAGGAUGCCACAUUAGUUUUGUAACUGGCCUAGUUACCCACCCUUGUGCUUCUUUGAUUUACUUCUCACCAUGCAGCAAGAAUUUUUUUUCGCCAUAAUCUGUUGCAUUUGUUCUCUGAUAAAAACCUUCAGGGAUUCUUUAGGCUUUCCAGAUCAAUAAAAAUUCCUCAAUAUGACCACCAGGAUACCUUAUGGUAGGGGUCCUGCCAAUAUAUUCAAGAAUUGGUUUAUUUAACGUAUUAAUCUUCAAUAAUUGGUUUAUUUAAAUAUUUAAAUAUCUCUUUUUUAAUCCACUAGUUUUUUGGUAGGAUACCCCCCUCCCACUCACAUAAGUUACUCAUUCUUCUAGGCUCAGUCCCACUCUUGUUAAUUUCAGGAUUAUCCCCCAACAUGAUUUUCUUCCUUCUUUAAGUGACCACUGACUAUUCACCAGUGUUGGGGAUGUAUAUGACUUAUGUCCCCAAUAAAUUCAAAUGUUUGGCAGUUAAGCUUCAUGUCCUAUUUUCACCCCAAUAUGCUGACUCUUUGAGAUAUGCCACCUUCACCCCUCUAAGCUCACUGAGGAAGUACCCUAUCCUGCAGUGUAUGACUUGCUCAUAUCAUCCCUUCCCAAGUGACAGCCAUGACAAACAGCCUGGUUUGAAUUCUAUUCAACCUUAAAUCAACUUAAAGAACAGGUCAUCUCUUAUCUUCUUAUCAUCCCUAUGAAACUUUCUUAUCCAGUAUUUUGACCUCCACUCAUCUCUUCUCUAUUUGUGUAAUAUUUAUAUAGCGUUCCGUAGAGUUUUAGGUAUAACUUAAAUUGUUUUUAAGAGAUGUAUAUUUGUCUGUUCUCAUUCAGUGGAAAAUAACCUCCAUUGGCUAUAGCAUUUUUUAAUCCCUCAGAAUACUAAUCUCAGAGUAGGCAGUAAAUAUAUGAGGAAUUGCUGAAGUGAGGAAUGAGUUAACCAAUAAACCAAUAAUAGUGUUCAGUAAGUAAUAGUUGGACACUUUAAAAAAAUUUUAAUGAACAUAUAGACAUAUAUGUAUAUGUUAUAUGCAUGUUAUAAACCUCAUUUCCCAUUCAUAUUGUUUUGCAAUUUUAAGAACCAUAAUUCUUCUUGUGACCGCUUUUCUGGGGCCACUUCAUGCCUCAAGAUUAGACAAUUAUAAUAUCAUUCUCUAACUGUAUGGGCUCCUCAGGUGUUCUUCACGGGGUUCCUUCAGCUCUUUUUCACACUUCUUUUAUAGAAAAUGGGAUGAAUUAAAUGACCAAAACUAGGAGCUUACUUUUAUAAUGUAGGCUACAGAACUUUACAAAAUCCAAUCGGUAUUUAAAUAGAUGCAAACUUAACUGAAGUUUUCAAACUUCAGGGUACCCACAGAUUAAUUAACCUGGGUGUUUGUUGUCCCUCCAAUAGAAAACUCACAAAUAUUUUAGUUCAGUGUGUUUGGAGGCAUCUCUUAAAUCCCAAUUUUAACAUGCAUGUGAUUCUCUGCAGGUGCUGUGCAAAGCACACUUUAAGAAAAAUUAGUUAGAGAUCAAUUAAAUAGAAAGGUAUGAGUAUGUAAGAGAAAUUAUUAAUCAGCAAAGCUAAACACCCACAAGUUUAUGCUCCAGUUUCCUCUACUACUGUCUAUGGGUCUUUUUCUCCUUCACUAACAAGAAAUUCUCAGUUUUAAAGUUUGUAUCAUUUUAUUCAUAUCUGCACUCCCCAUCAAAAACCAAGGUUAUAGAAUUAACCACUUUCCUGAUGGGAAUUUUCAUUUGCUAAGUCAUAUAACAUCCAAGCUUUAAUUCCAUUAGUUAUAUUUGAUAAUACAGUCUGAAUGGUUGCAGAUGGGUACAAUUGGUAUCUUCAAAUUGUGCUCCUUAAUUCAAAUUAAUCUUCAAUUGGUGGAGCAUAUGUGCAUUUUUUGUCACUGUAUUUCUUAACACUAGGCCUGUUCUAUUUUGUAAAUCUCACAUCCGCCUUCCAUUACCCAACUCUAAAAACACUUAGUAGAGAAAUGUAUACACACAAAAACAUGUAUACAGACACACACAUGCACACACAGAUAUGCACACACACACACCUCUGACUUCCAAAGAAAAAAUUAUUGUACAAUGCCCUAGCCUUAAACCUUACCAAAUCCUUGUUGUUGAUUAUAUUUAUAAAUGGCUUCAAACUUCCCUUAAUGUCACUAUCAUAAAGUCAUGCCUGAGUAAAAUAUUGAAUUGGCACAAUAUAUGCUUUACAUUAAAAAUUUGAUUUGUAGUAAUAAACAGCUAAUUCAAUUAAUUUGAAUUACACUCCUCAACUACGUGAAAUCCAUGUUAAAUUAAUUAAAACAAAAUGUAGAUACAAUAAAAUGCACCCAUUUUAAAUGUACAUUUUGGUGAAUUUUCACAACUGUACACAUAUAUUUACCUACCAUCACAAUUAAAUUUUAGAGCAUUUCCAUUAACCCCAAAUUUGUCUUGCACACCUUAAAAUUCAUUCAAUCUUUCUUCCUGGACACCUGGCAUCAGGCAAAUACUGAUCCAAUUAUAGUCUGUUUGCAUUUUCUAUAAUUUUAUAUACUAUAAUCAAAUAGUACAUACAUUUUUAUAUCUGCAUUAAGUUAGUAUGAUUUUUUUUUUUAAGACAGAGUCACUCUGUUGCCCAGGCUGGAGUGCAAUGGUACAAUCUUGGCUCACUGCAACCUCUGCAUACCCAGUUCAAGUGAUUCUCCUGCCUCAGCCUCCUAAUUAGCUGGGAUUAUAGGCACACCCCACCACAACCAGCUAAUUUUUUGUAUUUUUUUAUUUUUAGUAGAGACGGGGUGUCACUAUGUUGGUCAGGCUGGUGACCUGACCUCAUGAUCCACCCUCCUCGGCCUCCCAAAGUGCUGGGAUUACAGGCAUGAGCCACCGUGUCCAGCCAGUUUGAUGUUUUAAAAAUACAGCCAUACCGUUUCAUGUAUCAGUGGUUUGUUGUGCAGUAUUCCAUUAUAUGGAUGACAACAUUUUGUUUAUCUGUUUACCUGUUGAAGAACAUUUGUGUUGGGAGUUAAUUAUAAAUAAAAAUUGUUAGAAAC
RNAcentral lists this long non-coding RNA (4091 nucleotides) under Homo sapiens (human). RNAcentral describes it as "HSALNT0250303". Lineage: Eukaryota; Metazoa; Chordata; Mammalia; Primates; Hominidae. The record is from RNAcentral.